CUGGUUGAUCCUGCCAGAGGCUACUGCUAUCGGGGUCCGGCUAAGCCAUGCGAGUUGAGAGGGGUAAGCCCUCGGCGAAUUGCUCAGUAACACGCGGAUAACCUGCCCUUGGGUCCGGGAUAACCCCGGGAAACUGGGACUAAUACCGGAUAGAUCAAAGAUACUGGAAUGUUCCUUGGUCUAAAACUCCGGUGCCCAAGGAUGGGUCUGCGGCCUAUCAGGUAGUAGUGGGUGUAACGUACCUACUAGCCUACGACGGGUAAGGGUUGUGAGAGCAAGAGCCCUGAGAUGGAUUCUGAGACAUGAAUCCAGGCCCUACGGGGUGCAGCAGGCGCGAAAACUUUACAAUGCGGGAAACCGCGAUAAGGGGACCCCGAGUGCCAGUACCUAGUACUGGCUGUCCCGCUGUCCAAAUAACAGUGGUUAGCAAGGGCCGGGCAAGACCGGUGCCAGCCGCCGCGGUAACACCGGCGGCUCGAGUGGUAACCGUUAUUAUUGGGUCUAAAGGGUCUGUAGCCGGCCGGAUAAGUCUCUUGGGAAAUCUGGCAGCUUAACUGUCAGGCUUUCAGGAGAUACUGUCUGGCUCGAGGCCGGGAGAGGUGAGAGGUACUUCAGGGGUAGGGGUGAAAUCUUGUAAUCCUUGAAGGACCACCAGUGGCGAAGGCGUCUCACCAGAACGGACCUGACGGCAAGGGACGAAAGCUAGGGGCACGAACCGGAUUAGAUACCCGGGUAGUCCUAGCCGUAAACGAUACUCGCUAGGUGUCGGCAACGGUGCGACCGUUGUCGGUGCCGUAGGGAAGCCGUGAAGCGAGCCACCUGGGAAGUACGGCCGCAAGGCUGAAACUUAAAGGAAUUGGCGGGGGAGCACCACAACGGGUGGAGCUUGCGGUUUAAUUGGAUUCAACGCCGGG
RNAcentral lists this ribosomal RNA (914 nucleotides) under uncultured archaeon. Its description in RNAcentral is "bacterial SSU rRNA". It matches the Rfam family "Archaeal small subunit ribosomal RNA", at positions 4 to 922 of the family's 1478-position model. The record is from RNAcentral.